GCCACGCCCGCUCAAGAAACGUUAAAGAAUUGACGGGACCCCGCACAAGCGGUGGAUCAUGUUGUUUUAAUUCGAUGAUACGCGAAGAACCUUACCAGGUCUUGACAUCCCCCGCGAUGCUUUAGAGAUAAAGCGGAGGUAUUCGGGGAGACAGGUGGUGCAUGGUUGUCGUCAGCUCGUGUCGUGAGAUGUUGGGUUAAGUCCCGCAACGAGCGCAACCCCUAUUGCUAGUUACCAUCAUUAAGUUGGGGACUCUAGCGAGACUGCCAGUGAUAAACUGGAGGAAGGUGGGGAUGACGUCAAAUCAUCAUGCCCCUUAUGACCUGGGCUACAAACGUGAUACAAUGGCUGGAACAAAGGGAUGCGAAGCAGUGAUGUGGAGCGAAACCCAUAAAAACAGUCUCAGUUCGGAUUGAAGUCUGCAACUCGACUUCAUGAAGUCGGAAUCGCUAGUAAUCGCGGAUCAGAACGCCGCGGUGAAUACGUUCUCGGGGUUU
This 497-nucleotide ribosomal RNA is filed under the name uncultured Acholeplasma sp. RNAcentral's name for it is "bacterial SSU rRNA". It matches the Rfam family "Bacterial small subunit ribosomal RNA", at positions 904 to 1382 of the family's 1533-position model. Lineage: Bacteria; Bacillati; Mycoplasmatota; Mollicutes; Acholeplasmatales; Acholeplasmataceae. The record is from RNAcentral.